CCCCAGCAUAUAGUUGUAUAUCCUAGUUGUAGGUCCUUCUAGUUCUUCUGCGUGGGAUGCCGCCACAGCUCGGCUUGAUGAACGGUGCUAGAUCCACACCCAGGAUACAAACUGGCAAACUCCGGGCUGCCAAAGUGGAGUGCGCAAACUUAACCGCUAUGCCACGGGGGUGGCCCCUGUCACUUUGAUUACCAUAACAACCUGGUGCCCCGGGCAGGAUGCUGGAAUCGGAUGAGUUCAGGUGUCUCCAUCAAACCCCAAGACGGUGCUGGCCCACAACUCCUCCUCAAGUUCAGCAAAAAAAAUACCAGGACUCAUGCAGCCGAGUGCAGGCCGGACACAGCCAGCGGCUCAGAAACUGGGCGCCUCCGCAGAGCUCACCCAGGGUGCUCGGGGCGGCUGGCCCUGCCAUGGCCCCCGACUCUUUCCCUCUUUCUCUGGCCUCAUGGUUCUCACCUCCCAACGACCACGCUUUCUCGCUCCUAUAAUCCGCCCACUUCCAGCCCGGCCUGUCAGAAUUGCCUUGGGAAUUUUUACCACGUGCCAUUGCUGUGCUCGCUUUAGAGUCGAUUAUCGGGCUGUGCCUUCUUGUUUAUGUAGGUGUCAGAUCUCAGGACACACACAGAGUGAAAAAUGUCUAUCCACGUAAUUCCCCACAUUAAUGUACCGAAGGAGUAAAAAUACAUCACUGUGCUCUGCACCCAGGAUUCGAACUGGCAAACCCUGGGCCACGAAAGCGCAACAUGCGCACUUAACUGCUGUGCCACCGGGCCAGCUCUGGAAGUUUCUUUCUUUCUUUUUAUUUUUGAGGAAGAUUAGCCCUGAGCUAACAUCUGCUGCCAAUCCUCCUCUUUUUGCUGAGGAAGACUGGCCCUGAGCUAACAUCCGUGCUCAUCUUCCUCUACUUUAUAU
RNAcentral lists this long non-coding RNA (912 nucleotides) under Equus asinus (donkey). RNAcentral's name for it is "lncRNA (ENSEASG00005033526.1)". Lineage: Eukaryota; Metazoa; Chordata; Mammalia; Perissodactyla; Equidae. The record is from RNAcentral.